CGAGUUAGCGCAAUCAAAAGGCCAUCACAUUCUCCAGAGCAUAUCUGUGGAAUUCGGGCAAGACCUUGUCCAAAAGGAGGAGAAUUUAGCCUCAUUAGCGGAUGCUAAACGGGCAUUCGAUAGCUGCGUCCUGAGCAGAUGAUAUGGGAGAUUGAACUUUUAGCUCAAAGUGCCCUUACUGCUGAUUUGUUUCAUGACCUGAUUGAACAAGAACAGAGACCUGUGGAUCUAUAUCAGCUCAGCUGGCAGUGGCCUUUGUUCCUCUGUGUAGACACGGAGUAUUGGCUCGUGGGAUUGCUGGGCUAUUGAUGGGGGAAGGAUGAGGAGUUCGUCUGUGUUAAACUCUCUUCAGACUGGGUGGCCCAGUCCUCCCACAGUUCCCACAGCAGGUGGAAACCAAGAAUUGCUAUUAAACGAAGGUCAGAGGACUGUCAUUAAUAACAAAGUGUUUGUGUUUUUUCCUACGUCAUGAAAAAAAAGGUACAUUGUAUGGAAAUUAUCCAAUGUGAGGUUCUGGGAAUUUCAACAUUAGUCGAAAUGGACUUAAAGGGAUAGUUCACCCAAAAAUGAAACU
Sinocyclocheilus grahami is the source of this 574-nucleotide long non-coding RNA. RefSeq lists it as uncharacterized. NCBI's taxonomy places the organism in Eukaryota, Metazoa, Chordata, Actinopteri, Cypriniformes, Cyprinidae. The record is from RefSeq and is a predicted model, not a curated record. The transcript has 3 exons.